RNAcentral lists this ribosomal RNA (254 nucleotides) under uncultured prokaryote. RNAcentral describes it as "partial 16S ribosomal RNA". It matches the Rfam family "Bacterial small subunit ribosomal RNA", at positions 524 to 776 of the family's 1533-position model. The record is from RNAcentral.
UACGGAGGAUCCAAGCGUUAUCCGGAAUUACUGGGCGUAAAGAGUUGCGUAGGUGGCAUAGUAAGUAGAUAGUGAAAUCGUGUGGCUCAACCAUGCUCACAUUAUCUAAACUGCUAAGCUUGAGUAUAUGAGAGGUAGCUGGAAUUCCUAGUGUAGGAGUGAAAUCCGUAGAUAUUAGGAGGAACACCGAUGGCGUAGGCAGGCUACUGGCAUAUUACUGACACUAAGGCACGAAAGCGUGGGGAGCGAACUGG